UAGGGAAUCUUCCACAAUGGACGCAAGUCUGAUGGAGCAACGCCGCGUGAGUGAAGAAGGCUUUCGGGUCGUAAAACUCUGUUAUUGAGGAAGAACGUGCGUGACAGUAACUGGUCAUGCAGUGACGGUAUUCAAUCAGAAAGUCACGGCUAACUACGUGCCAGCAGCCGCGGUAAUACGUAGGUGGCAAGCGUUGUCCGGAUUUAUUGGGCGUAAAGCGAGUGCAGGCGGUCUUUUAAGUCUGAUGUGAAAGCCUUCGGCUUAACCGAAGAAGGGCAUCGGAAACUGGGAGACUUGAGUGCAGAAGAGGAGAGUGGAACUCCAUGUGUAGCGGUGAAAUGCGUAGAUAUAUGGAAGAACACCAGUGGCGAAGGCGGCUCUCUGGUCUGUAACUGACGCUGAGGCUCGAAAGCGUGGGUAGCAAACAGGAU
RNAcentral lists this ribosomal RNA (431 nucleotides) under uncultured bacterium. RNAcentral describes it as "partial 16S ribosomal RNA". It matches the Rfam family "Bacterial small subunit ribosomal RNA", at positions 355 to 778 of the family's 1533-position model. The record is from RNAcentral.